Molecule: ribosomal RNA, 389 nt
Filed under: uncultured bacterium
Lineage: Bacteria
Description: partial 16S ribosomal RNA
Rfam family: Bacterial small subunit ribosomal RNA
Source: RNAcentral
AUACGUAGGUGACAAGCGUUAUCCGGAUUUACUGGGUGUAAAGGGCGUGUAGGCGGUUUAGCAAGUCAGAAGUGAAAUUCACGGGCUUAACUUGGGUGCUGCUUCUGAAACUGCUUUACUUGAGUGCUGGAGAGGAUAGUGGAAUUCCUAGUGUAGAGGUAAAAUGCGCAGAUAUUAGGAGGAAACCCGGUGGCGAAGGCGGCUAUCUGGACAGUAACUGACGCUGAGGCGCGAAAGCACGGGGAGCAAACAGGAUUAGAUACCCUAGUAGUCCACGCUGUAAACGAUGACAACUAAAUAUUGCCGCGAGGCAGUGUUGAAGCUAACGCAUUAAGUUGUCCGCCUGGGGAGUACGGUCGCAAGACUGAAACUUAAAGGAAUUGACGGGG